Molecule: ribosomal RNA, 1142 nt
Filed under: Bacillus sp. 10UB1
Lineage: Bacteria; Bacillati; Bacillota; Bacilli; Caryophanales; Bacillaceae
Description: bacterial SSU rRNA
Rfam family: Bacterial small subunit ribosomal RNA
Source: RNAcentral
AGUCGAGCGACAGAUGGGAGCUGUGGUCCCUGAUGUUAGCGGCGGACGCGGGAGGAACACGUGGGUAAGCGGCCGUGGAAGACUGGGAUAACUGCCGUGGAAACCGGGGCUAAUACCGGAUGGUGGUUUGAACCGCGUGGUUCAGACAGUAAAGGUGGCUUCGGGUACCACUUACAGAUGGACCCGCGGCGGAUUGCUAGUUGGUGAGGUAACGGGUCACCAAGGGAACGAUGCGUAUGCGAGCUGAGAGGGUGAUGGGCGAGUCUGGGACUGAGACACGGCCCAGACUACUACGGGAGGCAGCAGUAGGGAAUCUUCCGCAAUGGACGAAAGUCUGACGGAGCAACGCCGCGUGAGUGAUGAAGGUUUUCGGAUCGUAAAGCUCUGUUGUUAGGGAAGAACAAGUACCGUUCGAAUAGGGCGGUACCUUGACGGUACCUAACCAGAAAGCCACGGCUAACUACGUGCCAGCAGCCGCGGUAAUACGUAGGUGGCAAGCGUUGUCCGGAAUUAUUGGGCGUAAAGGGCUCGCAGGCGGUUUCUUAAGUCUGAUGUGAAAGCCCCCGGCUCAACCGGGGAGGGUCAUUGGAAACUGGGGAACUUGAGUGCAGAAGAGGAGAGUGGAAUUCCACGUGUAGCGGUGAAAUGCGUAGAGAUGUGGAGGAACACCAGUGGCGAAGGCGACUCUCUGGUCUGUAACUGACGCUGAGGAGCGAAAGCGUGGGGAGCGAACAGGAUUAGAUACCCUGGUAGUCCACGCCGUAAACGAUGAGUGCUAAGUGUUAGGGGGUUUCCGCCCCUUAGUGCUGCAGCUAACGCAUUAAGCACUCCGCCUGGGGAGUACGGUCGCAAGACUGAAACUCAAAGGAAUUGACGGGGGCCCGCACAAGCGGUGGAGCAUGUGGUUUAAUUCGAAGCAACGCGAAGAACCUUACCAGUUCUUGACAUCCUCUGACAAUCCUAGGAGAUAGGACGUUCCCCUUCGGGGGCAGAGUGAACAGGUGGUGCAUGGAUUGUCGUUCAGCUCGUGUCCGUGAGAUGUUGGGUUUAAGUCCCGCAACGAGGCGCAAUCCGUGGAUCUAGUGCCAGCAUUUCAGUUGGCACUCUAAGUGACCUGCCGUGACAAACCGAGAGUGGGAAUG